AGAGUUUGAUCAUGGCUCAGGACGAACGCUGACGGUGUGCUUUAGGCAUGCAAGUCGAACGAGAAAGCCCUUCGGGGUGAGUACAGUGGCGAACGGGUGAGUAACACGUGGGCAAUCUGCCCCUCGCAGGGGGACAACCGGGGGAAACCCCGGCUAAUACCCCGUACGCUUACGGAGCCGCAUGGGUCCGUAAGGAGAGGUAGCUUCGGCCAUCCGGCGAGGGAUGAGCCCGCGGUGCAUUAGCUAGUUGGUGAGGUAACGGCUCACCAAGGCGACGAUGCGUAGCUGGUCUGAGAGGACGAUCAGCCACACUGGGACUGAGACACGGUCCAGACUCCUACGGGAGGCAGCAGUGAGGAAUCUUCCACAAUGGACGAAAGUCUGAUGGAGCAACUCCGCGUGCAGGAUGAAGGCCUUAGGGUCGUAAACUGCUUUUAUGAGUGAAGAAUAUGACGGUAACUCAUGAAUAAGGGUCGGCUAACUACGUGCCAGCAGCCGCGGUCAUACGUAGGACCCAAGCGUUAUCCGGAGUGACUGGGCGUAAAGAGUUGCGUAGGUGGUUUGUUAAGUGAAUAGUGAAAUCUGGCGGCUCAACCGUACAGGCUAUUAUUCAAACUGGCAAACUCGAGAAUGGUAGAGGUAACUGGAAUUUCUUGUGUAGGAGUGAAAUCCGUAGAUAUAAGAAGGAACACCAAUGGCGUAGGCAGGUUACUGGACCAUUUCUGACACUGAGGCACGAAAGCGUGGGGAGCGAACCGGAUUAGAUACCCCAGUAGUCC
Molecule: ribosomal RNA, 779 nt
Filed under: uncultured soil bacterium
Lineage: Bacteria
Description: bacterial SSU rRNA
Rfam family: Bacterial small subunit ribosomal RNA
Source: RNAcentral